Molecule: RNA transcript, 790 nt
Organism: Salvia splendens (bonfire salvia)
Lineage: Eukaryota; Viridiplantae; Streptophyta; Magnoliopsida; Lamiales; Lamiaceae
Gene name: probable inactive nicotinamidase At3g16190
Exons: 5
Source: RefSeq, a predicted model, not a curated record
UUUUUCAAACUGAAUAGUACAAUCCAUUUUUGUCAUUUCGAAAUCUAGCAUCUUCCCUUCUCUAUAAAAGAAACUCCUAAACAAGUUAUUUCUUCAAUUGUAGAUAUGGCAGAGGCGUGGAAGCAAACUGCACUUCUUGUGAUUGAUAUGCAGAAAGAUUUGAUCUUGCCGUACAGUCCGGCCGCUGUGAAAGGUGGUGAAGCUAUUGUGCCGAAUGUUAUCAAGGCCGUUGAACUAGCUCGAAACCGCGAUCUUCCUAUUAUUUGGGUUGUUCGCGAGCAUGAUUCCCUUGGGAGAGACGUGGAAUUAUUCCGCAGACAUUUCUAUGCUGCGGAUAAAACAAAAUUGGUCGUAAAGGGUAGCUCUGGCGCAGAACUAGUAGAAGGCCUCGAGAUCAAAUCCCAUGACUACAAACUGAUAAAGACCCGAUUUAGCGCGUUCCAUAACACAAACCUUCACUCAUAUCUACAGGGAGCUGGAAUCUCCAAGAUAGUAGUAUGUGGGGUUCAAACUCCAAAUUGAGUAAGACAGACUGUGUUUGAUGCGGUAUCGUUGGACUAUGAUGAGGUUACUGUAAUUGUUGAUGCAACUGCUGCUGCCACAUCUGAAAUUCACUGUGCCAAUGUUGUCGACAUGAAGAACAUCGGAGUGGCAACGCCAACACUCGAAGAAUGGUGUCAUGCCAAUAAUUAACUACUAGUAGUACAUUAUCUAGCUGCUAAGAAACCUCAUAAAACUAUAUAAGAGGAUUUUAUUAGUUAAAAUUUCAGUAUUAUAUUUGUGUUAUUAA